This 2637-nucleotide long non-coding RNA is filed under the name Olea europaea subsp. europaea. Lineage: Eukaryota; Viridiplantae; Streptophyta; Magnoliopsida; Lamiales; Oleaceae. The record is from RNAcentral.
CUUUUCCAUUUCUCUCGUGUUUUCAUUUGUUUUCUUUCCUCCCCUUCUGCUCUUUUUUGUCCAACUUCUCAUUUCCUCCUUCGAUUGCCUUCCCCUUUCCCAAUUUAAUCAACCAUCCAGUCAAUCAGAGGCUGGUUCAAUCGAUGAUUGGGCACCGCUCUAUUCCCUCUCCCAUUGUUCAAUCACUGAUUGUCGACUGCUACUAAUUUUUACUCUCGCCGGCCUAUCUCUUCUCAUUUCUACCUCCAGUAAGUCGCCCUACAGUUAUUGUUUUGUCUUGGGUCUGGGACCCUAUAUGCUCACCAUUUUCCUCUCUCUCUAUUCUCGUUUGUGAAAAACUCUGUGAAUUUUUAUGAUAUUAAUCAUUUGUUUUGAUUUUUUUUUGUAGUCACAGUGAGAAGCGUAUUUAUAUUCAAUGGUUUUGUAAGGGUUCGUGUGUUUUCCAUUGCUAUUUUAGAACUUCAAUUGAAUAAUCUAUGAUUGUUUUUUUGAUAUGCGGUGAAUAAUUUUUAGACAUUUCUUGAUUUUUAGGUUUUAUUCAUAUUAUUUGUUUAGUUAACGUUAUCGUGAAUCAAUAUGUGAUUCUAGAUACUUGUUUGUAAAUUGAGGCGGAUUUAGUAGCCAGAUUAAGUGCUAAUAUGAAUAACAAUCUGAUGUUCUAAAAUAAGAUAAUGACUACUAUUAUACUGAUUAGUGUAAGCCAAAAAGAAAAAAACAUAGUAAAUCUCUCCAUUAUCGAAUCAGAUAACAACUAGAAACCAACACAAAUUAUAGUAAAAAUCAAACACACAUUGCGUUAUAGUAAAAGGGCAAAACCCAAUAAAGAUACACGUAAAUCACACGUUCGUUAUAGUAGAUUGUCUUAAGAAAUUUAAUUCAGCUAAUAUUUCUGUCUAUUUGGUUUGUUUGGUGUUUCCUCCCAUAAGUUUCCUUAAUUAUUUUGGAGCUAAAGAGAGUGUUUUUGUUCUUGAAUGUGCUAAUGGAUAGAAUAUCCCUCUUUUUUCUUCAAUCUUACGCAUUUUGUUUUUUUGGGCCUCUUCAUUUUCAGUAUACAAAUUGUGAAAUUGGGUCAGAGGUUUCUCUUUUUGUGUAAUAAAAUAUUAUUUUUGUUACUUAGAGAUCAACUAAAUGAGAGGUAUUAUUUUUCUUUCCUCAAGUUGCUCAGAGAGUAUCAUCUGAGUUUCAUAGUUCUCUUACAAUUCGGUGAAGGUUCCUCAGAAUGUGGUCUAUCCUUGAAGGUGGAGAUUGCUUGAAAAGAUUUGUGUAAAUGUUUUGCUGGAAAAGAUUAGACAUUCUGGAUAAAUGUUUGCAGGGAAAGAUCUAAAGCAUAUUUGCUUGAAGGGUCAGAAUUUCAUAGUUCACUCAUUACAACAAAUGUAGCUUGUCACUACUAUUCUGAAGUCCUUGUCCCAAAAUGUUUCCACUUUGAAUAUUUUUUUCAUAGGUGGUACUUAAUAGAAAGUAUCUUUGCUUGGUGUAGAGCAAUGAUAUUAUUAAUGAAGUAUGUAGUCAGCUAGAGCAUUUUUGCACAGCUAAGACAAAGAUUGAGAAACAAUAAUCAAGAGUUUUAACCAUUAAAGAGAGAGAUAUCUAAUUAAAAUUUGUGCUGGAUGCAGAGAAAAAAUUGUAUCCCAAUUUAUUUCUAUUGAAACUGAGCACAAGGUUAUUUUUAUUUUAAGUCCUCUUCCUUACACUCCAUGAUUUACAGCUUCUUAAUGAAACAAGGUUUCUGUAGUUGACAAUUCUAUGUUUAGAAUGCUUGUUAGGUUCUCCAGCAUGUUAUGAUUAGCCUCAUUAUGUUUACAUUCAAACCUGAGGAUCUGCAAUGCUCCUUAUUUUGUUAUAUUAUUCGGGAACUACUUGCCUGAGACUAAUGUUAAAUUUAGCUAUCCUAAGGUAACGAUACAUUUCACUAUGUUUUUUAUGUACUAUCGUGUUUAUGUUCUUUAUAUAUUACCAAAUUUGGUGUCAGGUUUAUUAAUGAGAGGAUUGAAUUUCUAGUUAUUUCAAGAAGUAAGACUAAUGAAGAAAGUAAGGAGAUACAUGUGACGUCCCAAUCAAAUUCAAAUGGAUUGUCAAAGAUAUCAUCCGAGUUUUCUCAAUUUUUACAUACAAGGUGUUGAAUUUGUAGGUAUGAAGAAGGAUCGGUCUAAAAGUGUUGUUGAGAUUCCUGCUUCAGUUUUGGAGUUCUUUACCAGAAGCAAACAAUUGUGAGGGAAGCGCGUUGCAACAAUACCACUCUGGUGGAGAAUGGAGAGACAUGCUAGGUGUGGUUUCCCAUAGAAAAAAUGAGGCACUGGCUCAAGAAAAUUUCGGUAAUAUGUGGACAAAAGGAAGAAAUCACAAGAGGGAAGAACGUGCAAAUCAGAUGGGAAAAACUUUAAAUCUAAAGACUCCAGUGACGACUCUGAGACGGAACUGUUUGGAAGAAUAUAUAGUGGAGCAACAACUUCUUCAUCCAUGUCCUUAGCUUCUUAGAAUUAUUUAGAUACUCUCUACAUUUUUAUUGUAUUAAAUUGUAGUCAAUAUUUUGGUUUAUUGAAACUAUGUAAAACAUGAUUAGAUGUGUGUUAAUGUAUAUAAUUUUGUUAUUUAAAUAUUAUAUUUUUGCUGAUUAAAAAAAAAAAACUAAAUUGG